AGGGUGUAAACGCUGCGGGCUUGGUGUUGGGGGUCCUUAGUGAGCGCCCAGUGCCGGAGAGAAGUUGUUAAGCCUGCUGCUUGGGGAGUAUGUCCGCAAGGAUGAAACUUAAAGGAAUUGGCGGGGGAGCACCGCAACGGGAGGAGCGUGCGGUUCAAUUGGAUUCAACGCCGGACAACUCACCAGGAGCGACGGUUACAUGAAGGCCAGGCUGAUGACCUUGCCUGAUUUUCCGAGAGGUGGUGCAUGGCGUAGUCG
Molecule: ribosomal RNA, 258 nt
Filed under: uncultured archaeon
Lineage: Archaea
Description: partial 16S ribosomal RNA
Rfam family: Archaeal small subunit ribosomal RNA
Source: RNAcentral